Felis catus (domestic cat) is the source of this 85-nucleotide non-coding RNA. The record is from Rfam. NCBI's taxonomy places the organism in Eukaryota, Metazoa, Chordata, Mammalia, Carnivora, Felidae.
GCCUGGGUGGCUCAGUUGGUUAAGUGUCUGACUUCGGCUCAGGUCUUGAUCUCAUGGUUCGUGGGUUUGAGCCCCGCAUUGGGCU